RNAcentral lists this ribosomal RNA (468 nucleotides) under uncultured bacterium. RNAcentral's name for it is "partial 16S ribosomal RNA". It matches the Rfam family "Bacterial small subunit ribosomal RNA", at positions 28 to 507 of the family's 1533-position model. The record is from RNAcentral.
GACGAACGCUGACGGCGUGCUUAACACAUGCAAGUCGAACGGAAAGGCCCUGCUUUUGUGGGGUGCUCGAGUGGCGAACGGGUGAGUAACACGUGAGUAACCUGCCCUUGACUUUGGGAUAACUUCAGGAAACUGGGGCUAAUACCGGAUAGGAGCUCCUGCUGCAUGGUGGGGGUUGGAAAGUUUCGGCGGUUGGGGAUGGACUCGCGGCUUAUCAGCUUGUUGGUGGGGUAGUGGCUUACCAAGGCUUUGACGGGUAGCCGGCCUGAGAGGGUGACCGGCCACAUUGGGACUGAGAUACGGCCCAGACUCCUACGGGAGGCAGCAGUGGGGAAUAUUGCACAAUGGGCGGAAGCCUGAUGCAGCAACGCCGCGUGCGUGAUGACGGCCUUCGGGUUGUAAACCGCUUUCGCCUGUGACGAAGCGUGAGUGACGGUAAUGGGUAAAGAAGCACCGGCUAACUACGUG